UGACGGAGCAAGACCGCGUGGGGGAGGAAGGUUUUUGGAUCGUAAACCCCUUUUGUCAAGGAAGAAGCUCUGACGGUACUUGACGAAUAAGCCUCGGCUAACUCCGUGCCAGCAGCCGCGGUAAUACGGAGGAGGCAAGCGUUAUCCGGAAUGAUUGGGCGUAAAGCGUCUGUAGGUGGCCAGCUAAGUCUGCUGUUAAAGAUCACAGCUCAACUGUGGGAAGGCAGUGGAAACUGGCAAGCUAGAGGUUGGUAGGGGUAAAGGGAAUUCCCGGUGUAGCGGUGAAAUGCGUAGAUAUCGGGAAGAACACCGGUGGCGAAAGCGCUUUACUGGGCCAGACCUGACACUGAAGGACGAAAGCUAGGGGAGCGAAAGGGAUUAGAUACCCCUGUAGUCCUAGCUGUAAACGAUGGAGACUAGGUGUAGCACGUAUCGACCCGUGCUGUAUCGUAGCCAACGCGUUAAGUCUCCCGCC
This 475-nucleotide ribosomal RNA is filed under the name uncultured cyanobacterium. RNAcentral's name for it is "bacterial SSU rRNA". It matches the Rfam family "Bacterial small subunit ribosomal RNA", at positions 384 to 873 of the family's 1533-position model. The record is from RNAcentral. Lineage: Bacteria; Bacillati; Cyanobacteriota.